CCGAAAAACAAAUAUACCUGCUCUGGCUGCCACGGAAAGUCGAGCUGUCACUGUUCGGCGGUCGAAAUGUGUCAAAUGUUGGACGGAACAUCUAAAAUCAGU
Molecule: non-coding RNA, 102 nt
Organism: Caenorhabditis elegans
Lineage: Eukaryota; Metazoa; Nematoda; Chromadorea; Rhabditida; Rhabditidae
Source: Ensembl